AGAAAGUUCAUUUGAUUUGCUUUACUGUGGCAUCUGCUGUGUCAUGGUGGUCUGAGCUAGACCCCGGGUGUCACUGAGGACCUACGUGGCAUCCGGGAAAGAGCAAGCACCAGUGAACAUUUGUCACCUGAAUGCACAGUCACGUUGCCUGUACUUCCUCUUCCGUGUGGCCUCACACGGGUUCCUUACUCAAGGCUCAGAAUCCGCACCCGGGAAAUGCGGCCAGCAAACACCUGACGGAGCUUCAGUGGCGACGAAUCCAGCAGGAAGAAUGAAGGCAGAGGGCUUGCAGGCAACACCAAGAGCGAUGGCCCUGUUUGUGUGCCACGUGACUCUCCCGCAGGUGUGUGACAGUAUUAACUUACUCCCCACAAGGCCCUGAGAACACUAGUGUUAUUCUUUAUCCCCAUUUUACAGACCAGCAUGCUGAGGCAAGAGCGGGCAGGUUGUCCGACUUGCAUCUGGGUCUUUCCCCACCGAGGGCCAAUGGUCUGACUUCCCACGGGAGCCCAGAGCCAAGCUGUCAGGCCUUCGGCAAGUCCAGGCACCAGACACGCUGAGAGCAAAGCCACAGCUCCUGAAGUUGGCCACGUCGUGUUUCCGUCUCUGCCGCCUUCCCCAAGAGCAGGGCCCUCGCUCACCUUCCGUUCAUCUGUCCCCCCAACGAGCGCUUGACCCACGGCACCCGUGCCCCACACCUGCCGCCACACAAACCCCACGUCCACCGGCAACUAGAGACCCGUGGGCCACCUCCCCACAGCCCCGCGUUUCACCGCUUGGAGAGUCGGCAACCAGGGGCCAGAGAGGAGCAUGUUGAUGGGGGGCAGAACUUCUCCUCGGGUGUUAGCAUAUUCUGUGCAGAUGGGACAGCCCCCAGGGCCCCAGGGCCCCUUCUCCAAGCCUGCCCCCUGCUUACCUCAGGUCGCCUCCGUUCAUGAUAGUUAUCACCAGACAGAGGUCGGUUUUGGUUUCAAAUGCAUACGCCAGCGAGACUAUAAACCUGCUGUGUACCUUU
This is a long non-coding RNA of Leopardus geoffroyi (Geoffroy's cat), 1015 nucleotides long. RefSeq lists it as uncharacterized. NCBI's taxonomy places the organism in Eukaryota, Metazoa, Chordata, Mammalia, Carnivora, Felidae. The transcript has 3 exons. The record is from RefSeq and is a predicted model, not a curated record.